This is a long non-coding RNA of Macaca mulatta (Rhesus monkey), 3480 nucleotides long. RefSeq lists it as uncharacterized. Lineage: Eukaryota; Metazoa; Chordata; Mammalia; Primates; Cercopithecidae. The record is from RefSeq and is a predicted model, not a curated record.
GAAUAGGACAAAGAUUCUAAGAAGGUGGGAAGGAAGAAGGCUGCAGUCUAUUUCAGGUCUGGUGAAUUUCGAUCACUGUAGCCUUUAUUGUUAUUUUGGAGCCACUUAGAUCAAAAGACAAGGAGCUUAAAUUGCUGAAAAGGUAGUGUGAAGGACCAUGUGCCACGUUGGGCCUGCCUGAAUAACUGCCAGACCCUACAGGAAUAACCUGCUGGGGGAAUCUCUACCUUUGGAGAGCCAGGAGGCCACCAUGACAACACUGAGUUCAGUAGACUCCUAGGAGAGCUGUGAUCCAAUUGCCAGGAAGCCAGGAUCAGAAAGUUCUUGCCAGCACUGCUGCCAUUGCCUCCUACUCUCACAAAGAUCAAGACCGCACGCUAGAGUGAUGCUGUGGAAAAACCAUCUCCAUGACCUUGCUGGGCAGCAGCAGCAGGAAGAUGGCCUCCUCUUCACAUUUGUCCUCCUGAUAUUCUACCAGUACAUCUAAUUAGAAUUGGAACUCUAGUUGAGGGAGUCUGGGAAAUGAAGACUAGCUUUCCAUCUUUUGCUGUGUGCCAGUUGACCAUAUCUAAUAUCACUGUCUUCUUUCUUAGAGUAACCACUUCACUCCUACCUUUUCGCCUUCCUAAAGAACCACUGUGAGACCACUCUUCUCCUGUCACUCCCCUACCUCACCAUGUAUGCUUCCACACCUACAUUGUUUUCUUUUUUCUUUUCUUUUCUUUUUUUUUUUUUUGCUUCUCCUUCCCACCUGGCCUAUCCUUCAAUGGUCAGGUUAACAUGUUACCCCCACAAUGGAAGCUUCUCUGACUUACUUCUUCAGCAAACUCAAUUGACCCUUUUUCUGGGCUCCUACAACAUUUUGUAAAAAGUCACUGCUAUAGUACAUAUAAUUAACAUCAUAAGUUGUUGUUUUUCUUUCUGCCAGACUGUGAGCCUUUGAAGGGCAGGUACUAUGUUUUAGUUUUCUGUUCUCAAUGUCUAGUCCAGGGUCUGGCUCAGAGUGAAUAAAUGUUGAUGGAGUGAAUAAUACAUGAUGAAAAUGGCAUAAUCUUAAUCCUCUGGAACUUUAGUAAGUGAGGGAAACGUGUUUAUAAGGCAGACAAAAUUCUACUGGGAAGUCUUCAUCAUAUCCCAAAGGCUCUAUUUUCUAUAUAGUCUUCUGUGGAAUUUAGAGACAACCAAUUUGACAAGAGGCUCCCCUAGAUUUGGUUGGGGAAGCCCUUCCCUGUGAAAGAAGAGAGAUUCUGUGAAUUAGUCAUUUGCCUAGUUUCUUGUAAGUGUAGACUUACCUCAGAACAGAGACAUGUAAGCAUCCACCUCUCAACCUAUCUCCAAUCCAGCUAUUUGAGAGGAAGUAUAUGGUUUGGCAAAGCUAAAUCUCCAAAACGAAAACCUCUUGGGCAAGUAAAGGCAGCUAAACCUUGUAAGUUGUUAGUAUACCCAGACUUUGUUUCUGUGCAAGCCCAUCUAUUAAGAUGGACAGGCAUGAUGGCUCAUGCUUGUAAUCCCAGCUUCUUGGGAGGUUGAAGUGGGAGAAUCUUGGUUGAGCCUAGGAGUUCAAGCUAUGAUAGUGCCAGUGCACUCCAGCCUGGAUGAUAGCGAGAUCCUGUCUCGAAAACAAAAACAGAAGAUAGAAAGGGGAGUGGGACGGCAAAGGUCAAGAAGGAAGAUUCAUCACAGAAUCCAGGGAACAGAAGUUAUGAGGGCCAAGGAAAGCAGGACUUCCAGACCUGGACCUCACUUGCUGAUUGGGAGAAAAGUCCUCAAACCUAUUCCUUCUUACACUGGCCUUAGAUGAUUUUCUGACAACUCUUGUGCUCGUGUGCUGUUGUUCAGCUGGUGUUUGAUAAUGGGAAUGUGUCUGAAAUGAAAAGAACAAUAGGCCAGGAAACCUUAUAGCCUGGAUAUUUUAACUUUUAGGUAAAUAUUUAAAUAAUUCGGCAGAGGCUGUUAUAAGUAGUAAUUAUAGGUCUACCCCUAAAUUAAGGCUACUAGUUAUUCAGUUGUUUUUCCUUGAGUAUUUAUAUAAGAAACUACUAAACUGUAACAUUUUAUAAUAUUCUGUGACAUAUAAGAUGUUCUGCUUCCUGUGGCUCCAGUUAUUCUAUCAUUUUUUUUGUUGUUUUUAUUUUACAUAUUGCCUCUAGGUUAUACAAGUUUUUUCCUUCCCCUGGUAAAUGAAAUCACUAUAUUUAAAGUGGUAUAUUGGUAUAUUUUAGGGCAAACAGCAAAAAUAAUAAUAAUAAUAAUAAUAAUAAUAAUAGGUUCCUUACCUAAGCUAUACCUCCUAAGGAAAGGGAUUUGGGGGGGUCUUGAUUUUUCAUCUGCCAAGUAGAAAACCUUCUAUCCAUUUUCACCCAAGAAUUGACAAUCUGAAGGUCACUGUAUUUGGUGCUCGAUUGUCAUAAUGAAAUAGUCCCCAGCAGAGAUCUCUUCAGAUUAUUGCAAGGGCAAACCAGGAUUACUGAAAUAUUUUCAUGUACAAUUGUUAUACUGACCUUCAACUUCUGAUAAUAAAAUAAAUGCUGAAAUUUUAGAGUGUGCUUUUAAGAAAUGCCUGAAUAAGCCUACAUUUGACUAAUCAUAGGAUAAGUUUACUUGUCCAGUUUUAAAUUCAAGCAUGAAUAUAAUUUUUGUAAUUAAUAUGUAUUUUCACACUCUUUACAAACCAAUAUUGUAAUAAGUGAAUUUUGCUGUCAUAGUUUUUAAAAUUUAUUUUUAUUUUUCCCAACUUGUCCUUUUGAAAUGCUUUCAGACUUAUUGAGAAAGUUGCAAAAACUAAUAUGAAGGAUUUUCACAUACUCUUUACCUAGCUUCUACAAAUGUUAUAUUAUAUAACUAUAGUACCAUUUUUUAAACAGGAAAUGAACUUAGUAAGUAAUCUAUAGACCUUAUUCAGAUUUUGUUAGUUGUCCCAUUAGUGGACUUUUUCUGUUCAGGAUCCAGUCCAAGCUCACCAGUUGCAUUUCGUUUUCAUGGUUCCUUGGUCUACUUUAAUCAGAGACAAUUCCUUAGUUUUUCUCUUUCAUAACUUUGACUCUUUGAAGAGUACUGGCCAGUUAUUUUGCAGAAUGUUCUUCAAUUUAUGUUUGAUAUUUCCCGAUGAUUUAAUUCAGGUUAUACAUUUUGUCAAGAAUAUCAUAGAAGCGACAUUGUACCCUUCUCGGUGUGUCUUGUCGGGAGGAAUGUGGUUGAUGUGUCUCAUCAUUGGUAAUGAGGCACUUUGAUCACUGAGUUAAGAUGGCAUCUGGCAGGUUUCACUGCUCUAAAGUUACUGUCUUUCCUUUGAAAUUAAUAUGCAUCUUAUGAGGGGAUACUUUGAAACUAUGUAAAUAUUCUGUUUUUCAUUAUACUUUUGUGUAUCAAUUUUAACAUCCAUUAAUUAUCUCUGCCUGACAUAAUUAUUACUGUGGUGUUUACCAAAUUGUGAUUUUCUAUUUCUGUCAUUCCUUCUACAUUUAUUGAGAUACUACUGUA